UACGUACUGUGCGAACGUUAUUCGGAAUCACUGGGCUUAAAGGGUGUGUAGGCGGCCAGCUAAGUAGGGUGUGAAAGGCCUCGGCCUAACCGAGGCAUUGCGCUCUAAACUGACUGGCUUGAGUGAGAUAGGGGUGUGCGGAACUUCCAGUGGAGCGGUGAAAUGUGUUGAUAUUGGAAGGAACGCCGGUGGCGAAAGCGGCACACUGGGUCUCGUCUGACGCUGAGACACGAAAGCCAGGGGAGCGAACGGG
Molecule: ribosomal RNA, 253 nt
Filed under: uncultured bacterium
Lineage: Bacteria
Also listed under: 1 other name
Description: partial 16S ribosomal RNA
Rfam family: Bacterial small subunit ribosomal RNA
Source: RNAcentral